Molecule: long non-coding RNA, 516 nt
Filed under: Elaeis guineensis (African oil palm)
Lineage: Eukaryota; Viridiplantae; Streptophyta; Magnoliopsida; Arecales; Arecaceae
Description: long non-coding RNA (EGUI_LNC006492)
Source: RNAcentral
ACCCAUCGGACUCUUGCGAGGACCGACGCAUCUACACGGACGGGAGUUAACACUCCUUCGACCUUCGACGACACAUCGGACCCUUACCAGGACCGGUGUAUCCAUAUCAACGGGGGUUGCACUCCUUCGACUUUCGACGAUGCAUCAGACCCUUAAAAGGGCCGAUGCAUCUGUUUUAACGGGAGUUGACACUCCUUCUACGGUCGAACUUUCGGGCCAGAGACCAUCGGCUAACAAACCGAUCGAGCCCCGACCAAAGAAAGGUGAAAUGCCUACGCGACCGACGUCGCGACUCCCGAUCGAGCUACGGCCGGUCGAAGGAUAUUCGGCUUACCACCGUCUAUCGCACGACGCGACCUUUAUCGUAUUGACGACUUACCGACCGGGCUACGGCCGGUCGGACGAUAUUCGGCUUACCACCGUAUAUCAAAAGGCGCAGCAUGAAUACCCAACACAAGGGCAUCGGGAUCCGACUUGUCGUCGUUUCCCCGACUGAAUGCGCCGGACGACAUUCGA